RNAcentral lists this ribosomal RNA (748 nucleotides) under uncultured archaeon. RNAcentral describes it as "bacterial SSU rRNA". It matches the Rfam family "Archaeal small subunit ribosomal RNA", at positions 1 to 726 of the family's 1478-position model. The record is from RNAcentral.
UUCCGGUUGAUCCUGCCGGACCCCACUGCUAUCGGGAUGAGACUAAGACAUGCUAGUCGUGCACCUCCAGGCCACGGUGGAGGCGCGGCGCACAGCUCAGUAACACGUGGCUAACCUACCCUUGGGACGGAAAUAACCCCGGGAAACUGGGGCUAAUUUCCGAUAGGUGAAGAUUCCUGGAAUGGAUCUUCGCCGAAAAGGCGUCUAGACCAUGCUUCUAGGCGCUGCCCAAGGAUGGGGCCGCGGCCGAUCAGGUUGUUGGUGAGGUAACGGCUCACCAAGCCUAUAACCGGUACGGGCCGUGGGAGCGGUAGCCCGGAGAUGGGCACUGAGACAAGGGCCCAGGCCCUACGGGGCGCAGCAGUCGCGAAACCUCCGCAAUACGCGAAAGCGUGACGGGGUCAUCCCGAGUGCCGUCCGCUGAGGAUGGCUUUUCCCCAGUGUAGACAGCUGGGGGAAUAAGGAGAGGGCAAGUCGGGUGUCAGCCGCCGCGGUAAUACCCGCUCUCCGAGUGGUGGGGACGCUUAUUGGGCCUAAAGCAUCCGUAGCCGGCUGGACAAGUCCCCUGUUAAAUCCAGCGAUUUAAUCGUUGGACUGCGGGGGAUACUGUCCGGCUAGGGGGCGGGAGAGGCCGACGGUAUUUCCGGGGUAGGGGUGAAAUCCUAUAAUCCCGGGAGGACCACCAGUGGCGAAGGCUGUCGGCUAAAACGCGCCCGACGGUGAGGGAUGAAAGCUGGGGAGCGAACCG